CUCAGUCAGCGCAGCAGAAUUCAGGGGGGAAAGCUGAAUGCAACCCCUGGUGCAGGAAGGGAGGCUUUUCCUGAGGACUGGGAGAGGAUUUUAAGUACAUAGAAGGAAGCUUCUGGAGAUCCUGCUCCGUCGCCCCAGUGUUCAGACUACCUGUUCAGGACAAUGCCGUUGUACAGUAGUCUGCACAUUGGUUAGACUGGGCAAGGGAGAGCAACGCCAUGAACUGCUGGGGACAAAAUGGGCUGUUUCCAAGGAGAAGACAUUUGUUUGCUCCUUUUUUGAAUCUCAUGUCCAGUCUUUUUCUUCACAGGUUUUCCACACGAGGGACCAAGAAGCCCUCGGGACACUGCUGAGAAAAGACCACCGAAGGGAAGACCAGCGGGGAUCAUGGAAUCUAUUCCAGAGGAAACUAACCAACAGUGAACAUCUUCAACUAAAACUACCCCUGGAUAUAAUGGUUGCAUGCAUCAUUCCUUUAAUUGAGCAGAGUUAACUGGAUCAAAUUAUUUAUGGGAGAGAGAGGAAAAGCUAUACAGAAUUACAGUAAUUUUUUAAUUUCUACCAAGAUAUCUUUGCUGAUUGUAUCUAUGAGCAAAGGAAACCUGAAGGAACCAAGGGCCUGGCUGGACAGAGUUGUCAUGUGUCUGCCUGUCUACACUUGCUGUGCAGAACAUCCGCUCACCUGUACAGCAGGCACAGACAGGCAGUCACAUGACAACCCAGCCUGAAUGACAACCAGCCAUUGAAAGAAAGCAGCCCUCACAUGAUAGCAUCUACACCAAGAGCUACAACCAAAAUGAGGGGCUCGGGGACCUGGGGCUUUAAUCUGUUGGUUUAAUACUUACCUCCUAUGUAUUAUUUUGAUUCAAAUAUUAAAACCCACCAAAAGUAAAGUGAGUGGUGCCUAUGGAAUAUAAUAAAACCCAUUUCUGAAAAUGUU
Callithrix jacchus (white-tufted-ear marmoset) is the source of this 940-nucleotide long non-coding RNA. RefSeq lists it as uncharacterized. NCBI's taxonomy places the organism in Eukaryota, Metazoa, Chordata, Mammalia, Primates, Cebidae. The record is from RefSeq and is a predicted model, not a curated record.